ACACAGAGAUUGAAGAAAUAAAGCUUUCAAAAAUAAUGUCAUAAAUAGGUUUUAUUCAUCAAUUAACUUCUUUUAACUAAAUCAAAUCAAC
This is a long non-coding RNA of Sinocyclocheilus anshuiensis, 91 nucleotides long. RefSeq lists it as uncharacterized. The transcript is spliced from 3 exons. NCBI's taxonomy places the organism in Eukaryota, Metazoa, Chordata, Actinopteri, Cypriniformes, Cyprinidae. The record is from RefSeq and is a predicted model, not a curated record.